GGCUCAUUGAACUCAGAGCCCGUUAUCAAGAGUGGGAGGAUCAAAGUGGGUUUCCCAUCACUACAUCCACCCAGCCAGAGGUUUUCAGAGACAAUGGAUUAAUAUCAGGUUUGGCUCCUCAUUUUGAGUUUGCACCAGCUGAAGGAUGCUGGGAGAAUCUAGAGCAUCAUCCUUGUAGACACCCAUCACCGUUAAUUCAACUGGGCACCAACCAGAUGUGGACCAACAGCUGCAUAUCUGUUCUGGAUAUGGACAUUCUUCAGAGAGGACUGUUGCUAGUUUAG
This 284-nucleotide long non-coding RNA is filed under the name Naja naja (Indian cobra). Its description in RNAcentral is "lncRNA (ENSNNAG00000016473.1)". The record is from RNAcentral. Lineage: Eukaryota; Metazoa; Chordata; Lepidosauria; Squamata; Elapidae.